Molecule: long non-coding RNA, 4533 nt
Organism: Entelurus aequoreus (snake pipefish)
Lineage: Eukaryota; Metazoa; Chordata; Actinopteri; Syngnathiformes; Syngnathidae
Exons: 2
Source: RefSeq, a predicted model, not a curated record
GACAUUAACAAAUACAAGCUAGUAUACAGUAAGAAAUACAAGCUAGUAUACAGUAUAUACUGUAAGAAAUACAAGCCAGUAUACAGUAUAUACAUGAACAAAUACAAGUUAGUAAACAGUAUAUACAUUAACAAAUACAAGAUAGUAUACAGUAUAUACAUUAACAAAUACAAGUUAGUAUACAGUAUAUACAGUAACAAAUACAAGCUAGUAUACAGUAUAUACACUGACAAAUACAAGUUAGUAUACAGUAUAUACACUGACAAAUAAAAGUUAGUAUACAGUAUAUAUAUUUUGAAACAAAACGCCAGAUAAUGUCUGCUAAUAGGUGCCAUUUUGGGGUCCUUAUACACACACCAUAGUAAUACUGUAUGUUGAAGCACAGUACAUCUGACUAUGGUAGUCAGACAACAAUCCAAGCGGUGCAACUUCUUAGCUUACCAAAGUCCUACUAAAACAUUUUGACAGAUUGUUGAGCACUGUGUCAUGUUCUAUAUUCUCAAAGGAACAUUUAAAGUUUUGGUGUUUACUGGCAUUAUCUUGCAGUCCACACCUAUCUCUUAUGUGUGACUGCCAUUUACUGGUCACACUUAUCAUUACACCUUGUACCAAAUAAAAUAGCUUCCAGGUCGGUAAGCACAACCAGAAUGAUUCCGUACAUUAGGUUUUAGUGCGCUUUAUAGUCUGAAAAAUACAACCUCCACAUUUUUUUAGACAACAGUCUAUAAUGUUGAUAUGGGAAAAUGAAGGUGGCAAAGUCACUUUAUGGUUUGAAAAUAAAUUCUGCACUUAAUUUGUUGCUGUGUUUCCAUGUUAGCCAUAACUAGUGAUUUGAUGUAGUGCACAACCUACUUGAAGGUGCCUCCAUGAGGUCAAAAUUGCUUUUUGGACUUCUCACACAACUCUUCAGUUUACCAGAACGAGACUUGCUUUCCGGGAUUUAGGUUUUGAUUUUGGAUAAAUAGAACGAAUAAAGCGGCCCACUAAAAUCAUAUCGGAUAGUGCUGACAAUGGCAUUGGCUUGAACUCUGUCUGUCAGGUUCAAACACCGAUGACAUCUAUUACAAGACAAGAAGCAAAGGAAAUCAAACAGAGACAGGAUUCAAUUUAGCUCAUGAGGAGAGCGCCUGUGUGCCUGCACCCUCGUACAGCAUCACCACACCGCUCUGACGAGGGAGUUCCACGCGUCCUCUUUUAUUUGGGCUUUUUCUGAUUACAUAGCAUUACAUUACAUUACGCAGCUGCUCCUAAGGGGAGGUGGUCAUAAACAGCUGUUGCACUCGGUCAUAAACACUUCAAAGAAAAGGUGCCUGGAGCUGCGUCAGGUCUGCUCCCUCUCCGCUUUGUAGAUCUCAGGUCAGGACAAGGUCUACCUGUGGCUGUCAAUAGAUCAAAGAAACCGACACCCCCGUGUCGCAUCCCAUCGCACACAGUGGAGUUUUACAAGCCUUUUGCUUGAUAAGAUGAAAGACAGCUUUUGUCUUCGCGCAGGGCGAGCUGAAAUCAUGGGAACACAAAGUUGUGUGAUAACUUAUAUACAAUUAUUCUGACACUGUCCAAACAUUAUGUCUGGUGAAAAACAUCCCAUUUUUCCUCUAGGAAACAACACACUGGGAUUUGUUAAUGUUGUUACUUCAAAUAAUAAAAAAAUCUUCUUUCGCUUUGAGUUUGACCGUUUAUCUAAAGAAUUUGAUUGUUGACCACCACAAACUCUUCAAGAACUUGUGCUCACACAGAAACUUGAUACCAAAGCAUCAUUUUAUGAUUCAUGAUCUGUCGACGAUUAGGAUUGUUGUGUGGAGUAUGAGCUUUGAGGCCAAGCAUACGUUUUUUUAGAGCAGUGGUCCUCAACCACCGGUCCGUGACGCAAUUUCUACCUGGCCCCACAGAGCCAUUAAACAAUUUCUCCUACUUCACUUUGGCCAGUCCCAGCAGACACACCAAUAAGCUUGUUCUAAAACUCCUGAUUUGCUAUAUCUCUUACAUCUUUGUGACAUGGGACAAUGCACAUUAAUAAACAUCAAGUUGCCAAAAGCUAGGUUCCAUCUGCAGGUUGAUGACCUAAGAUCAGUAGUAGUUCAACUGGAGAAGUGCUAAAUUGUUGCAUAUAAUAAUUGUGCUGAAGGAAGAAAAUACACGUCUCCUUUGACCUCGUCAGUUAAAGGCCUACUGAAACCCACUACUACCGACCACGCAGUCUGAUAGUUUAUAUAUCGAUGAUGAAAUCUUAAAAUUGCAACACAUGCCAAUACGGCCGGGUUAGAUUAGUAAAGUGCAAUUUUAAAUUUCCCGCGAAAUAUCCUGCUGAAAACGUCUCGGUAUGAUGACAUUUGCGCGUGACGUCACAGAUUGUAGCGGACAUUUUGGGACAGCAUUGUGGCCAGCUAUUAAGUCGUCUGUUUUCAUCGCAAAAUUCCACAGUAUUCUGGACAUCUGUGUUGGUGAAUCUUUUGCAAUUUGUUUAAUGAACAAUGAAGACAGCAAAGAAGAAAGCUGUAGGUGGGAAGCGGUGUAUUAGCGGCCGGCUGCAGCAACACAAACACGUAGCCGGUGUUUCAUUGUUUACAUUCCCGAAAUAUGACAGUCAAGCUUUACCAUUGGCCUGUGGAGAACUGGGACAACAGAGACUCUUACCAGGAGGACUUUGAGUUGGAUACGCGGUACCGUGAGUACGCAGCUGCGGCUUCCAAACAUUUGAUCGCUUGCCCGUACAUGCGUGCCGCUAUGUGCAUGUCACGUACGUAACUUUGGGGAAAUAUAUGCGCUGUAUGAACUUUGCGGAGGUGAACGGUACUGUGGGCUGUGGGAUUGAGUGUGUUGUGCGGGUGUUUGAUUUGUAUUGGCGGGUUGUAUGGACGGUUUUUUGUUAUGCGGGAUUAAUUUGUGGCAUAUUAAAUAUAAGCCUGGUUGUGUUGUGGCUAAUAGAGUAUAUACUGUAUAUGUCUUGUGUUUAUUUACUGUUUUAGUCAUUCCCAGCUGAAUAUCAGGUCCCACCCGCCUCUCACAGCAUCUUCCCUAUCUGAAUCGCUUCCACUGCCCUCUAAUCCUUCACUCUCACUUUCCUCAUCCACAAAUCUUUCAUCCUCACUCAAAUUAAUGGGGUAAUCGUCGCUUUCUCGGUCCGAAUCGCUCUCGCUGCUGGUGGCCAUUAUUGUAAACAAUGUGCAGAUGUGAGGAGCGCCACAACCUGUGACGUCACGCUACUUCCGGUACAGGAAAGGCUUUUUUAUCAGCGACCAAAAGUUGCGAACUUUAUCGUCGAUGUUCUCUACUAAAUCCUUUCAGCAAAAAUAUGGCAAUAUCGCGAAAUGAUCAAGUAUGACACAUAGAAUGGAUCUGCUAUCCCCGUUUAAAUAAGAACAUCUCAUUUCAGUAGGCCUUUAAAUAGCUGCUAUUAUUGCACAAAUAUGAAUACAUAACUUUUAGAAUGGAAGUAGAAAUCCACAGAAAUGUAUUCAUUUUUCAUGCACUUACAGUCGUGGUCAAAAGUUUACAUACACUUGUAAAGAACAUAAUGUCAUGGCUGUCUUGAGUUUCCAAUACUUUCGACAACUCUUAUUAUUAUUAUUGGUGCAGUUCAGCUAAAUUUGUUGGUUUUCUGACAUGGGCUUGUUUCUUCAGCAUUGAAUUUAGCUGAACUGCACCAAUUUUGUCAAGAGGAGUGGUCAAAAAUUCAACCAGAAGCUUGUGGAUGGCUACCAAAAGCGCCUUAUUGCAGUGACACUUGCCAAGGGACAUGUAACCAAAUAUUAACAUUGCUGUAUGUAUACUUUUGACCCAGCAGAUUUGGUCACAUUUUCAGUAGACCCAUAAUAAAUUCAUAAAAGAACCAAACUUCAUGAAUGUUUUUUGUGACCAACAAGUAUGUGCUCCAAUCACUCUAUCACAAAAAAAUAAGAGUUGUAGAAAUGAUUGGAAACUCAAGACAGCCAUGACAUUAUGUUCUUUACAAGUGUAUGUAAACUUUUGACCAGGACUGUAUUUGCUAUAUUUAUCUGGCACACAUGGAAGGCCGGUCCGUGAAAAUAAUGCCUACGUUAAACCGCUCCCUGGUGCAAAAAAGGUUGGGGACCACUGAUUUAGUGUAUUUCAAAAAAAUAACCAAAUGACUUGCUAAAAGGCAUCAGAUGACCAUCACUGGGAAACCUUCACACACACAAACAGAAUAUGGGCCAAUCACAUCAUUUUGAGAGAGGAAAAAGUCAACAAUUAAGAGUUGUGUGAACAUUCAAAGUGUGGAGUACACAGCUGGCCAUGAUUUGCUCGUCAAAUACUUGAUAUUCUUCUGCUUGACAUUUUUUCGUUGACACAAAAGCAAUUCACUGAGAACUCCGAUGAACAUGCCCACACAUUUAAAACUUUACAAACCCAGAGAAGGUGUGCAAUUAAAAAUAACCUUGCGUAAAUAUUCCGAACCAUUUGACACUUAAAUAUCACGUGGUUCUGCAGAUGAACAUUUGUGUAUCGUACCCUCAUUUGUUUUUUUAACUGACUGCACGGGACCAAACAGAAAUAAAUAUUAUUGGAAAUGCA